This 79-nucleotide transfer RNA is filed under the name Carex myosuroides. Its description in RNAcentral is "tRNA-Met". It matches the Rfam family "tRNA". From Rfam's summary of the family: Transfer RNA (tRNA) molecules are approximately 80 nucleotides in length. Their secondary structure includes four short double-helical elements and three loops (D, anti-codon, and T loops). Lineage: Eukaryota; Viridiplantae; Streptophyta; Magnoliopsida; Poales; Cyperaceae. The record is from RNAcentral. RNAcentral also lists the same sequence under 3 other names.
AGCGGGGUAGAGGAAUUGGUUGACUCAGCAGGCUCAUGUCCGUCCUGAAGACUGCAGGUUCGAAUCCUGCCCCCGCCUC